UACGGAGGGUGCGAGCGUUGUCCGGAAUCACUGGGCGUAAAGGGCGCAUAGGCGGCUCAUGAAGGCUGUGGUGAAAGUCCGGGGCUCAACCUCGGAUCGGCCGUGGCGACUCGUGGGCUGGAGCACUGUAGAGGCGGGUGGAAUUCCGGGUGUAGCGGUGGAAUGCGUAGAGAUCCGGAAGAACACCAGUGGCGAAGGCGGCCUGCUGGGCUGUUGCUGACGCUGAGGCGCGACAGCGUGGGGAGCAAACAGG
This 253-nucleotide ribosomal RNA is filed under the name uncultured bacterium. Its description in RNAcentral is "partial 16S ribosomal RNA". It matches the Rfam family "Bacterial small subunit ribosomal RNA", at positions 524 to 776 of the family's 1533-position model. The record is from RNAcentral.